UCCAGACUCCUACGGGAGGCAGCAGUGGGGAAUCUUCCGCAAUGGGCGCAAGCCUGACGGAGCAACGCCGCGUGAAUGAAGAAGGUCUUCGGAUCGUAAAGUUCUUUUCUUAGGGAAGAAGUCUUAGGUUGUGAAUAAUGACUUAAGGUGACGGUACCUAUGGAGAAAGCUCCGGCUAACUACGUGCCAGCAGCCGCGGUAAUACGUAGGGAGCGAGCGUUGUCCGGAAUUACUGGGCGUAAAGGGCGCGUAGGCGGGAACUUAAGUUAGAUGUGAAAACUCCGGGCUUAACCUGGAGACUGCAUUUAAAACUGGGUUUCUUGAGGGCAGGAGAGGAAAGUGGAAUUCCUAGUGUAGCGGUGAAAUGCGUAGAUAUUAGGAGGAACACCAGUGGCGAAGGCGGCCUGCUGGACAGUACCUGACGUUGAGGCUCGAAAGCGUGGGGAGCAAACAGGAUUAGAUACCCCGGUAC
This 472-nucleotide ribosomal RNA is filed under the name uncultured bacterium. RNAcentral describes it as "bacterial SSU rRNA". It matches the Rfam family "Bacterial small subunit ribosomal RNA", at positions 330 to 793 of the family's 1533-position model. The record is from RNAcentral.